Molecule: ribosomal RNA, 158 nt
Filed under: Chaetomella raphigera
Lineage: Eukaryota; Fungi; Ascomycota; Leotiomycetes; Chaetomellales; Chaetomellaceae
Description: 5.8S ribosomal RNA
Rfam family: 5.8S ribosomal RNA
About the family: 5.8S ribosomal RNA (5.8S rRNA) is a component of the large subunit of the eukaryotic ribosome. It is transcribed by RNA polymerase I as part of the 45S precursor that also contains 18S and 28S rRNA. Functionally, it is thought that 5.8S rRNA may be involved in ribosome translocation.
Source: RNAcentral
CAAAACUUUCAACAACGGAUCUCUUGGUUCUGGCAUCGAUGAAGAACGCAGCGAAAUGCGAUACGUAAUGUGAAUUGCAGACACCGUGAAUCAUCGAAUCUUUGAACGCACAUUGCGCCCUUUGGUAUUCCGAAGGGCAUGCCUGUUCGAGCGUCAUU